Long non-coding RNA from Perca fluviatilis (European perch), 1031 nucleotides. RefSeq lists it as uncharacterized. The record is from RefSeq and is a predicted model, not a curated record. The transcript has 6 exons. Lineage: Eukaryota; Metazoa; Chordata; Actinopteri; Perciformes; Percidae.
UGUGGUCACCAUGAACGAUCUGGCACACAUUUGAAAGUCUGUCUUUUUCUAGAAAAGUAAAAGAUUAAACAUCUCGGUGCCCACCAGCCGCGGGAUAUUGUUAUAAACCAAACCUCUGAUAAAAAUGAUCAGAUUGAACGUGAAGUGGUUCUCCAGGUCAAAACGGUUAACUGCUAGCUAGCUAGCUUGUCAGAGAAGACGCUUCUUAUUUUGCUUCCCGUGUGUGUUAUUUGGAGAGGAUGGUAUCUGGUUAAGAAUAUAGGCUUUUAGGACCUCAAGCAUCUUUCUGAGAUAAUUAAAAAAAAACAAAAGCAGCAGGAUAACGCCGUAAAGUUGGACUUGCUCGGCAGAACAUUCUUGGCUAACGUUAACGCUAGCUACCCAAGCUGACAGCGCUUAAACUGGGGAUUGAGCAGUUUAACAGCACGCUGAGGAGAACAGAGGUCAUGACAGGGAGGUGUCAUUUAAGGUUUGAUGGGUAAUCCUAAUGUAUGCCAACGUUCUGGAAAGCCUCAUGUGAUCUCUAGGAGCACUUACGACUGAUCAGAAGCUGGAGGGUGAGAUGGUCAAGUCUAUCCCAGCAUGCAUUUGGGUGAAAAAGAGCAGACCGGUCCAGUCCAUCGCAAGGCAAACACAUUUAACGAACACAGAAUACAGAACAUCUGCACCCAGACUGACACCCAUGGGACCGUAUAUAUGCAACGAUGGCAGUGAUCCAUCCUGACUGCCAUAGGCUGAGCGACAGAUUCCAAACAAGAGGGAACCCCAAGGCAGCUGUGGACUUUUAUUUGAAUGAGCUAAAAAAAAACAACCUGCUGUAAUAAUCCAACAUUUUGCUGCAUGAAGGGCUGGUGAUGUUGUGGGGGAGGAGCUGGACACACUGAUGAGCGUGGCUGAGAGGAGGAUGCUGUCCAGGCUUCAGUCCAUCUUGGAUAACGUCUCCCACCCUCUCUACGACACACUGGCCCAGCAGAGGAGCACCUUCAGCAGAAGACUCCUCUCACCCAGAUGCACCACAGAGCGCCACAGGA